RNAcentral lists this ribosomal RNA (185 nucleotides) under uncultured bacterium. RNAcentral describes it as "partial small subunit ribosomal RNA". It matches the Rfam family "Bacterial small subunit ribosomal RNA", at positions 26 to 218 of the family's 1533-position model. The record is from RNAcentral.
AGCCUGAACGCUGGCGGCGUGGCUAAGACAUGCAAGUCGAACGGGUGUAGCAAUACACCAGUGGCGGACGGGUGAGUAAUGUAUCGCUAACGUACCCUGGAGCCAGGGAUAGCUGCCCGAAAGGGCAGGUAAUACCUGAUGAAAUAACCUUAUCGCAUGACGAGGUUCUCAAAGCAGCAAUGCAC